AGAGGGUGUCAACCCCAGCAUACUUGCAGGACUUAACAUAAACAACUCCUUGAACUGCGACAAAGCUUCUAGGAAAGGGGUGAACCGGAACAACCGGAGGUUUAACAGGAGGGUGAACCGGAACAACCGGAGGUUUAACAGGAGGGUGAGCCGGAACAGGAGGUUUAACUGGAGGGUGAACCGGAACAGGAGGUUUAACUGGAGGGUGAACCGGAACAGGAGGUUUAACUGGAGGAUGAACCGGAACAGGAGGUGGAUUAACAGGAGCAGGAGGGUGAUGGUGAUGGUGGUGAGUAGGAGGCUUAGCAGGGGCAGGGGUAGGAGGGUAAUUGUGGUGAGAAGGUGAAGGAACAGGUGCUGGUGCUGGUGCUGGUGCUGGAGGGUGGUGGUGGUGGUGGUGGUGGUGUGGGUGAGGAGCAUUUGCUGGUGGGUGAAGAGGUGCUGGUGUGGGGGAGUGAACAGGGUGAGGGUGAGGGUAAGAGGGUGGAAGAGUUUCAAGUUCAAGCUCUACAGCAAACACAUUACUCACAGCUACGAGGAGAAACAGCAGCACUGAUGCCAAGGCUUUGGCCAUUGCUUCAAGCAAGUGAAGCAGAGAGAGAGAGAGAGAGAGAGAGAGAGAGAGGAGAGGAGA
This 634-nucleotide long non-coding RNA is filed under the name Glycine max (soybean). RNAcentral describes it as "long non-coding RNA (GMAX_LNC002939)". Lineage: Eukaryota; Viridiplantae; Streptophyta; Magnoliopsida; Fabales; Fabaceae. The record is from RNAcentral.